Molecule: long non-coding RNA, 680 nt
Organism: Mercenaria mercenaria
Lineage: Eukaryota; Metazoa; Mollusca; Bivalvia; Venerida; Veneridae
Exons: 3
Source: RefSeq, a predicted model, not a curated record
AAUUUUUGGCGAUAAUGGGUGGUAUCUAGUAGAAAUUGACGACUCAUCAGAAAAUACCUUCCUGGCCCAGCAGGUCAAAACGCUUGGUCAUGUAAGUUGGAUUGGUUUAAGUGAUUUAAGCGAAGAGGGUAUUUGGGUAUGGAUGACAAGUAAGGCAAAAAUAAGCGACCAAUACACCAACUGGGUACCAGGCGAGCCGAGUACCUAUGACAUAAAUCAUGAACCGGAGAACUGUGCCAAUUUCUACACAAACGGACAAUGGAAUGACGCUCACUGCACACAGUUUAACUACUAUAUAUGUGAAAAAGAAGAUGAAGAGACUGAAAUCGUUGGUUGAAAUGGUCACAUAUAUGUGCUGUUAUGUUAGUUAUAUGAAAAAAAAACCCACAUUGAAUUGAUAUAAACAAAUAAACAAAUAAAUAUGCUUCAUAAAGUAUCUUAAAAACAGAAUUUCAUAUUCUUUAUCUAUUUUUGAUUCAAUAUGUGCUUAAUGUGCUUAAUUGUCUUGUAUGUGCCAGGGUCGACAUGUCUUGUAUGUGUCAGGGUCGACAUGAUUUCAUUUCAAUUCAUUUUGAAUAAUAUUAAAUUUUUAUAUGGACGGGGUAUUAUUGAAUGUAUUUUGAUGAUUUUGAUGUAAAUACUUUAUGGAAAAGCUGCAAAGGAUUUGGACAUUUCAAGAA